RNAcentral lists this transfer RNA (74 nucleotides) under Acidimicrobiaceae bacterium. RNAcentral describes it as "tRNA-Val". It matches the Rfam family "tRNA". Rfam says of the family: Transfer RNA (tRNA) molecules are approximately 80 nucleotides in length. Their secondary structure includes four short double-helical elements and three loops (D, anti-codon, and T loops). Further hydrogen bonds mediate the characteristic L-shaped molecular structure. tRNAs have two regions of fundamental functional importance: the anti-codon, which is responsible for specific mRNA codon recognition, and the 3' end, to which the tRNAs corresponding amino acid is attached (by aminoacyl-tRNA synthetases). tRNAs cope with the degeneracy of the genetic code in two manners: having more than one tRNA (with a specific anti-codon) for a particular amino acid; and 'wobble' base-pairing, i.e. permitting non-standard base-pairing at the 3rd anti-codon position. Lineage: Bacteria; Bacillati; Actinomycetota; Acidimicrobiia; Acidimicrobiales; Acidimicrobiaceae. The record is from RNAcentral.
GGGCGCCUAGCUCAGUCGGUUAGAGCGCAGCCUUCACACGGCUGAGGUCAUGGGUUCGAGUCCCGUGGCGCCCA